GCCUCGGUGGCUCCGAGACGAGAGCGCCGGCCUACGGAUCCCCAGGUGGCGGGUUCGAAUCCCGACCGAGGUG
Molecule: non-coding RNA, 73 nt
Organism: Ixodes scapularis (black-legged tick)
Lineage: Eukaryota; Metazoa; Arthropoda; Arachnida; Ixodida; Ixodidae
Source: Rfam